UUAAAGUUUAAAUAAUUUGGUGACUGGCUGCAGUUGAAGUCUCAGAUAAGCCGAAAGGGAUCGCUGUAGGCGCUGCUAAAGAGUGUGUGCACACACUCUGUCACGUGCUUCUUACGCUCUGAAACCCCUCCGGAGAGCAAAGAGUGAUGACGGCGUUACACAGUGCGAGCACACUCAGACUUUAGACAGGAGAGUCACAGAAAGGAGAGGAGAAAAGGGAGAGAGAAGGUUGGACGCAGGAAGCGGCCUCUACAUGACAGACUGAUGAGAUGAAACUGAUAUGAUAGACCUGUUCAGAGAGUCCGCUUCAAAUCGGAACUUUCUUUAAGAGUUUUCAAAAGUCUCUCUUUUUUUUUAAAUAUUUGUUAUGUAAAAUGCAACUUAAUUAGUAAAGUAGGAGCAUGUUUCUUUAUUAAUAGAAGCUCAUUUUUUUUAGUGAACUGAUUUUUAAUUUUUUUUAAUUUUAUCGUAUUUAGUAAGAUGUUUGUUGUAAGAGUUGGAGAGUGUGUGUCAUGUUGUCUCGAUGCGUUUUGUUUCAGAGUCGGGUCCCUGGAGUAGGAGCCAUAAUUUGAAGACCCCACCGCCUUUAAAAGGAGCGGAGUUACAGCAGCUGCCACCGCCUCUCAGCACCGCGCAGAUAAAGAAGGAGAUCCAUGAUGUGGACAUCUUCUCAAGUCACCAAGCAAUGAACACACAGUCCUUCAAGCUCCAAACACACUACAAACACACUUCAUUUUCAUUUACUUGACUUAAUUGUCAGUAAUUGCCUCCUUCCUCAUUUUUGUGAAUGCCUUUUAUGAAUGACCACUUUGUAAUUAUCAAAUUGGUUUGUGUUCUGGAACAGAAAAAAACAAACAAACAAAUGAUCUGGAACCUGAUGAGCUGUUAUGAGUUUUAAGGGGAACAAGUUUGUUUUCUCUUUACUUCUUCAGUGACUUAAAUGACGAUGCAUGGUGUGAGAGUGAGUGUGUGCUUCCUCUUGAUGGGGUUUCUGUACCCAUGCACAUCCCACCCUCACUGCCCACAACCCCCCCGCCAAGCUGAAUGGCAGACCUCUGGAAUUGGCUAAGUGAUGAAAUGAUGACCCCAUUAUGAGAAGUGAUUCCAAAAUGAGAAGUAUCAGACAAAGACUGCACACCCCUCUCUGCCUCCCUCUCUCUCUCUGCCUCCCUCUCUCCCUCUCUUUCUCUCUCCCUCUCUCUCUCUUUCUCUCUAUCUUUUUAGCUGCAGCACCGUCCUCCAGCAGCCUGCCAGCUGAGCAAAUGAUGAUUGAUUUGCCUGAGAAGGAUCACAGGAAGCAACCAUUGAUUUCUUUCUCUUUUUUUUUCUGUUUUCUUCUUUUGGUGUUUUAUUAGAAAUAUUUAUUUACCCCUGUAUCUGUGGGGUGUAUCAAGAUUCACUUCGUAUGGCAGAAGCUAUAAGUGGGAUAAUUCACACUUCUUCAUCUGAAGACGGACGACCUGAAGUUCUGUAUUCCUUCAGAAAUGAGUCAGUAGAGCCACUGAGUAAAUGAAUAUUGAUUGAAUAAUGCCUGAGUGUGAAUAUGAGCUCUUGCAGUGACCCUUCCUUCAGUCUUAACUACAGACAUCCUUAGUGAUGUCAAAAUUUUACAACAACAUAUCUUAUGAAGGGACAGCUAAAAAAAGUCUUAUAUAGUACAUUUAUUUCGGAAAUACAUUUUAAAAAGUGAGCAUUAUAUUAUUCAUAUUCAUUGUUAUUCAUUGGAUAUAUUCCAGACAGUUAAUUAUGUUAACUUUGAUAAUUAUACCUUGCAGCUAAUAAAAACCUAAAAUUAAAUUUCUCCAAAAAUUCAUAUUGGAAACACAAAUUAAAUGUAAUUAAUGUAUUUUUUUCUUCACAAUUCUCUCAAGGCAUAGCUUGAGACAGACUUUCUUCUGUCACACUUUUUCCUUCCACUAAACUUUUCAAUAAUAUGUUUGGAUACAGCUAAUUGUGAAGAACUACCCUCUUUAGAAAUGGCUUGAUGUAGAUUAUCUGUUUGUUGAGGGUGUCAGUGCUUAUUUGCUACAUACAGUAUACAUGUUAAGUUAGCUGAAGUCCUCUACAGGAUUUUGUGUUCCAUACCAUACCUAUAAAAUAAUAUUUGUGUAUUCAUUUGUUUGUUUGUUGUGUAACAAUAUAAUUGUCUGCAAGACUAAAUUUUGGGGUUUUGCUGUAAGCUGUAAUCAUCAAAAUGACCAGAAUUGAUUCAAAUAUAUUAAUUAGUGUUUAUUUAAUCUAUAUAAUAACUGUUUACUUUUUAAAAAUGUAAUUACUGAGAUAAAUAACUUUUUAAAAUAUUUUAUAUACAAGCUUUGAGACACACCUGUACGCUACAGCUGGAAACCAAAGAAGAAGAAAAACAUGAGCAGUUAUUCCCCCUUCUCUCUGGUAGUACUUGUUUGUUUCAGCUUAAUUGAUCCAACCAGAAGUACAUUUUGUUUUGAAGAUGCCAUCACGUAAUAAUCCCAUUCUACCUUAAAGCUCAUGAGAUGCGCACGAAGGAGGAAAGUCUGCUGCUUCACAAAACGUAAGGCGAUACAAUGUGCAAAUCCAAUGAGUGCCAAAACACUGAAACCACAGUGUGGGAGCAGUGUCCCAGAUAUUUGCUCUGACUUAAUCCAAUUGAAAUAGUAUGAGUGAGUUGCAGGGGCUCCCAGGUCUGUUUCUUGCUUAUGUAUGUGAUGCAUAAUAGAAGUUGACGAGGUUGGUGAUAGAUCACAGCCCAGGUAAUGUAAACACAUUAAUCCCUCAGGGUUCAUGUGCAUGUUCUUUCUCUUGUUUGCUCUCUUCUAUCUGCCUCUCCUUAUACUGAGACCCAGACCCACCUCAACUCCAACCCACCCACCUCAGCCCUACCUCCACCUCCACUACCCCCUCCACACCCCCACUUACUCCCCAGUGUUCAUCAUCUUCCCUAAAUGCGUUAGUGGAGCACAAACCAGAAGCAGCCUUAAUCUGUCAACAUGCCCUUUAAUUGGAAGGAGAAAACAACAUGUGCUCCUGGUUGUGCCAUUCCUAAAUGCACAUGCCAAAGAAAUACAGCGGUCACGGAAGAAGUGAUCCCGGGAGAGUGGGGCAUAAUUAAAAGUAUCUUUUAAUAAGCUUGUAAUGCUGAGCCUGACUCUUGUUGCCCUAAGCAGAGUGCAAAAAUCUGUGGCUGGAGACGGACAUGUGAAGGGGGCUUCUCUAAGGGAGCCUGUAAACGAUACACUGCCUCCACCGUCAUCAGACAUGCUGUCUCCGCCUGAGUCACCGCGCUGAGGACAACAGCCACUUUCAGCCCCUGCUGCGGACACGUCGGCUCACCAGCUAACCGUGUUCCUUUGUUCUCCGAAUGAGAGAUUCUCCUCCCCAACACAUCAGCUCUCCAACUCCCCGUCCCCCGUGUAGCUUUGCCAACUUCUGCUCUACCUCCAACUCACAACACCAGUGGGGAGUGAGAACUGGGAUUAAGGGGUUGAUUUUGGGCCUGCUACACUGUAAUCAAAUGAGACUGCUUAGGGGAGAGGAGAAGAAGGAGGAGGUGGAGUAUUAUGUUCUGUAACGCAUUCCACUGCAGCUGUUUUUUUUUUUUGUUUUUGUCAGGGCAGACUUUGAUGCCGUAUCCCCUUACCUUUGUAGUCCCGGUAGCCAUGUUUCAUAAACACAGAAUAGGAAACAUCCUCGGCAUUAGAAAUGUAGAUUGCCGCUUUCCUCUCCGCCACUCUGCAUUCCGCACAUGCCCGGUCGCAUUCUCCAUCUCCCAGCACCGGGGUAUUAAGUUUCGUCUCCCCUGCCUCUGAUACAUUUAAACAUCUCACAAUCAGCCCCAGUGAUUUAGAGUGUCAUGUAUAAUCUGCGGCAACAACAAUGCCAGCUUCACUUUAUAUCCUUGUAAGUGUUGUAUUUUUUUCACUUUUUAUUUUCUGUUUCAGGACAGCUGCACUUGCUAAAACACUUAAUUCAUGGAGGCCAAGAAGCUAGCAUUAGAGCAAUUUCGAAUUUGUCUUCAUGAUUGAGGAUAUUAUAUUAAUACCGAGCUGCUCAUUCUGUAGAGUCCCCUCUUGCUUUGUAUUAUCACACAGGGAAUUGUCUGGUCUCACUUCUCUUUGUAGUUAACUGAAACCCUCCAUGGGAUUGAGUGUAAUUGUAUUUCUAAAUCUAACUCAUUAAAAGCCAAACUCUUCAGUUCUCCUGCCCACAUAUCAUAUUUUUGUCUCACUGCAGUCUUUACGUUAUUCCCUACUCUCAUGAGAGUACUUUCACACAUGAUUUAAUAUUUAAAUGUCAGUCCUGUGAAUCAUUUAAAAUAAUUCAAUUAUCCCCCACAUGAGUUUUUUUUUUUUAUGACAAGGUACAGAGUCCUCUUUUUUUUCUUCUUCUUUUUUACCCAUCAGAAAUGUUCUCCGUUGUCUUCUUCUGUUUUGUCCAACAUCUGACACACUGCCCUCGGUGAUUGAACCAGAUGUGGAAAUCCAAAGAGGAGAUGCUCCCCCUAAUACCUGACACCUGCUGCAGAUUUGGAAGGGAUUGCACUGCAGGUACUGCCUUACCUUUUCACCAAUCCCUAAAAGUCCCUGAGGUAUUUCCUUUCCUGUCCGGGGCUGUGUUUGUCUCUGCUCUGCUUUGCCACCCAGCUAUCCUGCCUGUGUCAGUCGGCCCCUGUGUGUUGGGAUUAGGGCGAGAGGGUGUUGAAAUAUGAUGCCUACCAUCCGUUAGAUACAUGCAGUUCUGAUUUGUCCGGAUAUUUGUUUGGCCUAAAAGAUUUCAGGAGGAUUAAUAUGUUUCUCAGCGGUAUCCCAGGCUUUCAGGGGUUUAAAUAAUACUUUGUUGGUGAGGUAGAUUUGAAAAUGUAAUAUAAAGGUACUCAUUUUACAUUUAUUAAUAUCUUUAAACAGUGAACACAAGAAAAAUUAAAUAUCAUGUGUAUUUCAAUUUGAUUGUACUAAACCAAGGUGCUGCUGUGAAUAUUUACCUAUUUUCCCAACUGUGUGUAAUUCUGUUGUACUUUUCUCCAGUUACACCAACACCCUGGGUCAGGAGAUGAUUUAAAACCAAAUGUGUUGUUUUCUGGAGUUCCUUCUCAUCUGCAGGCUGCAUUGGGACAGAACAAAAAGCCAACAUCAACACAUAAAGGACAUCAAAUCCUGGCAAACCUGUGAUAUCUGAGCUAGGUGAUCACAAUGCACCUUCGUGUCAUCUGACCCGGGAAUGGGCAGGCAUUAUUUGGACCAAGUUGGAACAUUAUGCUCAAGAGCUGCAAAACAGACCAGAUACAACUAGUGGUACAGCGCUGUGCAUAUUUUGUCAUGUUAUCACCAAAAUUUAAAUGUAUUUCAAGAAAAAUAAUACAUAAUUUUUUUAAUAUUUCACUUAGACAAAUCUAACACUUUUACCAUAUAUUUGCAUUUAGCUGCCUGAGUCAGCUCUUUGUAGAACCACAUUUUGCUGCAAUUUUCAGCGAAACUCUUUUGGAGAAUGGCUCCACCAGCCCUCUUUAUCAACAGAAAGCAAUUUUUGCCAAUUUCUCUUUGUAGUUUAAUCACGCUCAUUUUGGAGCAUCAGCCAUUUUGAUGCCACAAACACUGCCAAUUUACUUUUGAGCUGGAAUUUGGCUAGAACAUGCAAAACCUGAAUGCAUUUGAUUUAAACUAUUUAUUUGUAGGUCUAGCUGUAUCUUAGGGGUCAUAAUCUAUUUGGAAAGUUAACCUCACCCCAGCCUGAAGCCAUUAUGGGGUAGGGUGUGUGUGGUGUUAGUUUUGUUCCACACGAGUUAUGUACGCAGGUCAAAAAUUAAUAAUGUUGGUUUUGUCUGACCAAAGAACCUUCUAUUGAAAGUCUGGUACAUGACUUCAUACAGGGUUCUUUCCACAAAGGGUUUCUUUUUGUUAUUCCUUGUUAGUGUCUGUACUUUUCAAGCAUACAACUAAUAGUUUCCCUGUCAGUGGAUUAUCCCUCUUGAGUUGUUGAUCUCUGUUACUCAUCCAGAGAGACCAUAAACCUUUUGCUGCUUUUCUGAUUAAAGUUCCCCUUGCCAGGGCUUUUAAAUUUA
Long non-coding RNA from Xiphophorus hellerii (green swordtail), 6034 nucleotides. RefSeq lists it as uncharacterized. NCBI's taxonomy places the organism in Eukaryota, Metazoa, Chordata, Actinopteri, Cyprinodontiformes, Poeciliidae. The transcript has 2 exons. The record is from RefSeq and is a predicted model, not a curated record.